Molecule: long non-coding RNA, 3641 nt
Organism: Diorhabda carinulata
Lineage: Eukaryota; Metazoa; Arthropoda; Insecta; Coleoptera; Chrysomelidae
Exons: 3
Source: RefSeq, a predicted model, not a curated record
UAUUUUGCAUGUAAAUUAUUGAAAUCAUUCUGUGAAAACAUAACAUCAUAACCUAAUUUUUUUUCUUUUAUUUUCUAAACAAUAAUUGAGAUAAUAUUUUUUCAUUUUUAUCAGUUGUAUUUUACGUACAAUGAUUUCGAUUUUGAUACCUAUUUACAUUUUUCGAAACUGGAUUUGUGAUUUUGUGUUAAAUAAAAGUUUAAUAAUUCAUGUCGAUUGGAAGUAUACCGUCACUACUAAAUAACUCAUCUACAUUAGUUUCAAAAUUACAGUAAUUUGAAUUGAAAAAUUGUGUCAUUAAUUUUGUCAUGAAGUAUUUUUCAUUAUAAUUAGUGAUAAGUGCUUAUUGUAAUUACAAAUAAAAUAACGAUUUUUAAGCCGAGUGGUUAUAGUGUUUAUAAAAAAGCUAAUGACAAUGUUACUUUAAUUAUACGUAUUCAAAUCGUUAUCAAAUUAUCAAUAUUUUAGUUUAGAGGAUUAUAGAACUAAAAACAAUUGUCAAAUAACAGUAUUUUGUAUUGUACAAAAUCCAGGCACGUAUUGGAAACAUGAUGUUAGUGUAUGUAAUAUUAUCAACAAGAAUACGUUCUAUUCUUUUCAAAUAACCCUUGGUAUAACCUGAAUCUUCAACAUCUGAAAAGUUAGAAGGACUUAUGGUAAUUUAAGAAAAGAAGAAAGUUGAAAUAAGGUUACCAAGAGAUUAGAAAGGAUUUAAACGGAAAGAUUAACAAAGAAAUAAAGAAAGUUGGGUAUAAUACGGAUCAUAACAUCUGAAUACUCAUUUUCGUGUUGUUUCAAAAAAACCUUUGUGUUUCCCAGCUGAUAUUGUACGUUAUCCUUGAAAACGUUUUUCAAAAUACUAGCCGAUGAAUUUUUGCAAUCGCCCUUGUAAGAAGGUUUUAUAUUUUUACCGAGAUAUCGAAACCUAUCGACGAAUUCUAUGUAAUUGUAUCUAAUGGGGUAACCUGCUUGGCGGAUUUUGGCAGUUUCCAUCAUUCCCGAAUAGCGAAGCUGUCUUGUACACAACAGUUUAUCAAAUUCCUGUCAAAAAAAUGAACUGUUCAAUCGAAAAUGUCCGCACAUCUCUUUGUAAACAGUUACCUGCGGUUUUUUGUUGUGAUUCGGUUUGAUGCAUCUCACGAAAAACGGAUGGCAAGUUUCUAAGGUUUUCAUUAAUUGAUCCAAAGACGUUCGAAAUUGUGACGACAGUGUUUUCUUCAAGUUCGUGUCUAAUUCUUUUUUAAAUAAAUUUUUAAACAUCGGGUUUUGAGAUUUUAACAUGAGUUUAAGUAAAUCGUGACUGAAAGAGUCUCUAUUCUUUUCCAAAAAUCCUAUAACGAAAAUUGAACCCGCUUUAAAUAAUUAAUUUUUUCAAAAUAAAUAAAACCAACGGAAAUGUACAGAUGUAUGUAAAACAACACAAAAACUACAGAAAAAAAAAACAAAUUAAUUUUUCGAAAUACACAAAAAUAGAAUAAGAGGUGUGAUAAACAAGUUGGGCAUUCAGCUUUAAAAAUGUCUUUCAUCUGUCGUUUUCAGGAAGAGCCAGAAGUCACACGGUGCUAAAUCUGCUAAAUAAGACGAAUGUAAACAGACAAGCGGACUCUUAGCAAUUAAUAACUCCAAAUCAAAAGCGAAUUAUCUUAACAAAAUGACAGUUUAUAAUUAUUCCAUUUGGAACAAAUAUUCUGCGAUGGUUUUACAGAAAAAUCAACCAUCAUUCAUUAAUAUGAGGAGAUGAAACGUAGCCGUAUAACCACGGUAAUCGUUCAGAAUGUCUAAAUAACGCAGUUACAUCAGAAAAUCGUGUUGGAAAACCUCAUAGUUGAAUUAAGACAUCACAAAGCAUCAUAUUUCACCAUUACCGUGCCACCAUAUUCGCCAGAUCUAGCUCUCACGUGCUAUUGGUGACUUUUAGACCUGAAAAAAUGUUAUAAAACCGUCUCAUGGAUGUCUUUAUACGUUUUACAUCAAUUUUUGAGCAUGGAAACGCUAUAAAGAAGAAGAAACAUCAUAUUUCACCAAUAUCGCGCCACCAUAUUUGCCAGAUCUAGCUCUCAGGUACUAUUGGUGACUUUUAUACCUGAAAAAAUGCUAUAAAACCGUCUCAUGGAUGUUUUUAUACGUUUUACAUCAAUAUUUGAGCAUGGGAACGCUAUAAAGAAGAAGAAACAUCAUAUUUCACCAAUAUCGCGCCACCACAUUCGCCAGAUCUAGCUCUCAGGUACUAUUGGUGACUUUUAUACCUGAAAAUAUGCUAUAAUGGAAGAAAUAUUAAACAUACGAAGGAAUCAUCGUUGAAAUCAAAUCCUAUAUUUAGACCAAAGGGAUAUUGUUGCAUAAAAAUGGUUAUCACUUUCGAAGGAAACUAUCCUAUUGAAAAACUUGUGUAUAAAUAAAUACUCACCCUCGACGUCGUAGAACACCUCCCCAGCAAAAUGUUUGAUACCAAAUGCUGGCGUCAUUUCACUUUUCGGUUUGGAAUAAUUAGAAUGAUUUCCAUGUUGUUUGUGCAACUUGGUCAAAAACGAAAAAUCGGUCCCUUUCGGAAACUUGGAUUCUUCAUCCAUCAACGAGAAAAUAUUCAACGGUUUCAUACCGAUAAGAUCCAAAAUGGUCUGGUUAUCAUUAAAGGUUAUGUUCGCCCAACUUAUCCCUUCUUUGUUAUAAUACUCCUGCUCUAAUUUGAAUAUAUGUCUGACGAAAAACUGUUGAAGAUUCUCGUUGGCGUAAUUAAUACACGUUUGUUCGAAGCUGUUUAUAUUAAAAUUCUCGAAACCGAAUAUAUCCAGCACGCCUAUGCUCGCUUUACUUAUCUUUUUAUUCAGAGAUAUCACGCUGUUGAUUUUAUCUACUAUGAAGACAAAUAAUUGACCGUAAAUUCCUUUUACGAAUGCGUGACGCGAAUCCGAAGCCUGCUCUUUGGUCAGGUUUGCGGUAAUUUGUUCGCCUUGGGCGUAGAUUGAUCUCUUGGUCAAAGCUUCGUUCAAAUCAUAUUUAUUUACACCUAAAAACACAUACUACACUCAUAUUUUCGAGACGCAUCGUAUAAUUUUUGUAUUUUGUAACGUGUCUCGAUUCAAUUUCAAAGUGCUAAACUCUUUAAAAAUCUAUAAUGUACGUUUUUCAUUUACGAGUAUAACGCCAUUUUGCUAUAUAGUCAUGACGUCAGUUGAUAAACUAUAAACAAAUCCAAUAAUUUAUUUUAUUUUCCAUUUAAUAAACUUAACGAUAUAAAUUAGGACAUCCUGUAUACAUUAUUUGAUAUUAAUCAAAAAGUUUGAAAGUUUUUUUUUUAAAAAUAACACUGUAUUUAUAUCAAAUUGAACUCUGUACAUCUGUUGAUAAUCAAAACAAAAAUGUUCCCGCGCAUUUGUACUGGAUUCAAAUUUUACUAAACAUUGAAACAAUUGUUGGUUAUUUAAGAAAAAUUUUAUACUUUUUAUUAACAAUAAACCUUAAUCAAUUAAUUUUUGAUAAAAAUUAGUCGUUAUUAAGUAGAAUUAACCUUAGAUAACAAUCUACUUUUCUUUUGACAUCGAAAAUCACGUGUCACUAGAUGGCGCUCAAAAUGUAUUCUAUAGAGGUGGGUAACAUUAUAAUCUGUAAUGCUGUUUAGUUUUAUUAUAUGUUUUUGAGAA